This 427-nucleotide ribosomal RNA is filed under the name uncultured bacterium. RNAcentral describes it as "bacterial SSU rRNA". It matches the Rfam family "Bacterial small subunit ribosomal RNA", at positions 355 to 774 of the family's 1533-position model. The record is from RNAcentral.
UGGGGAAUUUUGGACAAUGGGCGCAAGCCUGAUCCAGCCAUGCCGCGUGUGGGAAGAAGGCCUUCGGGUUGUAAACCGCUUUUGUCAGGGAAGAAAUCCUUUGAGCUAAUACCUCGGGGGGAUGACGGUACCUGAAGAAUAAGCACCGGCUAACUACGUGCCAGCAGCCGCGGUAAUACGUAGGGUGCAAGCGUUAAUCGGAAUUACUGGGCGUAAAGCGUGCGCAGGCGGUGAUGUAAGACAGGUGUGAAAUCCCCGGGCUUAACCUGGGAAUUGCAUUUGUGACUGCAUCGCUGGAGUGCGGCAGAGGGGGAUGGAAUUCCGCGUGUAGCAGUGAAAUGCGUAGAGAUCAGAAGGAACAUCCGUGGCGAAGGCGGCAUCCUGGGCCAACACUGACACUGAGGCACGAAAGCGUGGGGAGCAAACA